Molecule: ribosomal RNA, 253 nt
Filed under: uncultured bacterium
Lineage: Bacteria
Description: partial 16S ribosomal RNA
Rfam family: Bacterial small subunit ribosomal RNA
Source: RNAcentral
GACAGAGGGUGCGAGCGUUGUUCGGAAUUAUUGGGCGUAAAGGGCGCGUAGGCGGCUUUGUAAGUCAGAUGUGAAAUCCCAGGGCUUAACCCUGGAAGUGCAUCUGAUACUGCUUGGCUUGAAUCCUGGAGAGGGUGGUGGAAUUCCUGGUGUAGAGGUGAAAUUCGUAGAUAUCAGGAGGAACACCGGUGGCGAAGGCGACCACCUGGACAGAGAUUGACGCUGAGGCGCGAAAGCGUGGGGAGCAAACAGG